RNAcentral lists this ribosomal RNA (383 nucleotides) under uncultured bacterium. RNAcentral describes it as "bacterial SSU rRNA". It matches the Rfam family "Bacterial small subunit ribosomal RNA", at positions 29 to 414 of the family's 1533-position model. The record is from RNAcentral.
AUUGAACGCUGGCGGCAUGCCUUACACAUGCAAGUCGAACGGCAGCACGGGGGCAACCCUGGUGGCGAGUGGCGAACGGGUGAGUAAUACAUCGGAACGUGCCCAGUAGUGGGGGAUAGCCCGGCGAAAGCCGGAUUAAUACCGCAUGCGACCUACGGGUGAAAGCGGGGGAUCGCAAGACCUCGCGCUGUUGGAGCGGCCGAUGUCAGAUUAGGUUGUUGGUGGGGUAAAGGCCACCAAGCCGACGAUCUGUAGCUGGUCUGAGAGGACGACCAGCCACACUGGGACUGAGACACGGCCCAGACUCCUACGGGAGGCAGCAGUGGGGAAUUUUGGACAAUGGGGGCAACCCUGAUCCAGCCAUGCCGCGUGCGGGAAGAAGG